Macaca mulatta (Rhesus monkey) is the source of this 117-nucleotide non-coding RNA. NCBI's taxonomy places the organism in Eukaryota, Metazoa, Chordata, Mammalia, Primates, Cercopithecidae. The record is from Rfam.
GCUGGGCAUGGUGGCCCAUGUCUGUAGUCCCAGCACUCUGGGAGGCCGAGGUGGGUGGAUCACCUGAGGCCAGGAGUUCGAGACCAGCCUGGCCAACAUGGUGAAACCCCGUCUCUA